UUGAACGCUGGCGGCAGGCCUAACGCAUGCAAGUCGAGCGGAUGAAGGGAGCUUGCUCCUGGAUUCAGCGGCGGACGGGUGAGUAAUGCCUAGGAAUCUGCCUGGUAGUGGGGGAUAACGUCCGGAAACGGGCGCUAAUACCGCAUACGUCCAGAGGGAGAAAGUGGGGGAUCUUCGGACCUCACGCUAUCAGAUGAGCCUAGGUCGGAUUAGCUAGUUGGUGGGGUAAAGACCUACCAAGGCGACGAUCCGUAACUGGUCUGAGAGGAUGGUCAGUCACACUGGAACUGAGACACGGUCCAGACUCCUACGGGAGGCAGCAGUGGGGAAUAUUGGACAAUGGGCGAAAGCCUGAUCCAGCCAUGCCGCGUGUGUGAAGAAGGUCUUCGGAUUGUAAAGCACUUUAAGUUGGGAGGAAGGGCAGUAAGUUAAUACCUUGCUGUUUUGACGUUACCAACAGAAUAAGCACCGGCUAACUUCGUG
RNAcentral lists this ribosomal RNA (483 nucleotides) under uncultured bacterium. RNAcentral describes it as "partial 16S ribosomal RNA". It matches the Rfam family "Bacterial small subunit ribosomal RNA", at positions 30 to 507 of the family's 1533-position model. The record is from RNAcentral.